GUGUGAGACUGUAAUGAUGGGAGGGGUAGAGUAGGGGAUGUGAGACUGUAUGAUGGGAGGGGUAGAGUAGGGGGUGUGAGACUGUAAUGAUGGGAGGGGUAGAGUAGGGGAUGUGAGACUGUAUGAUGGGAGGGGUAGAGUAGGGGGUGUGAGACUGUAUGAUGGGAGGGGUAGAAGUAGGGGGGUGAGACUGUAUGAUGGGAGGGGUAGAGUAGGCGGUGUGAGACUGUAUGAUGGGAGGGGUAGAGUAGGGGGUGUGAGACUGUAAUGAUGGGAGGGGUAGAGUAGGGGGGGGUGUGAUACUGUAUGAUGGGAGGGGUAGAGUAGGGGGGGUGUGAUACUGUAUGAUGGGAGGGGUAGAGUAGGGGGUGUGAUACUGUCUGAUGGGAGGGGGAGAAUAGAGGGUGUGAUACUGUAUGAUAGGAGGGGUAGAGUAGAGGGUGUGAGACUAUGAUAGGAGGGGUAGAGUAGAGGGUGUGAUACUGUCUGAUGGGAGGGGU
Oncorhynchus tshawytscha (Chinook salmon) is the source of this 500-nucleotide long non-coding RNA. The record is from Ensembl. NCBI's taxonomy places the organism in Eukaryota, Metazoa, Chordata, Actinopteri, Salmoniformes, Salmonidae.